RNAcentral lists this ribosomal RNA (775 nucleotides) under uncultured Neocallimastigales. RNAcentral describes it as "partial large subunit ribosomal RNA". It matches the Rfam family "Eukaryotic large subunit ribosomal RNA", at positions 22 to 644 of the family's 3401-position model. Lineage: Eukaryota; Fungi; Neocallimastigomycota; Neocallimastigomycetes; Neocallimastigales. The record is from RNAcentral.
UAGAUGCGAGAGUAGAGCAUAUCAAUAAGCGGAGGAAAAGAAACUAACAAGGAUUCCCUUAGUAACGGCGAGUGAAGCGGGAAGAGCUCAAAUUUGAAAUCUUCAAGGUUUUACCUUGACGAAUUGUAGUUUAAAGAAGUGUUUUCUGUUGGAGUUUUGGUAAAAGUUCUUUGGAAUAGGACAUCAUAGAGGGUGAGAAUCCCGUAUUUGACCGUUACUUUCCAGCUGUGUGAUACACUUCCAAAGAGUCGGAUUGUUUGGGAAUGCAGUCCAAGAUGGGUGGUAAAUUUCAUCUAAAGCUAAAUAUUGGCGAGAGACCGAUAGCGAACAAGUACCGUGAGGGAAAGAUGAAAAGAACUUUGAAAAGAGAGUUAAACAGUACGUGAAAUUGUCAAAAGGGAAGCAUUUGACACCAGUGUUGUUUAGUUGAAAAUCAAUUCAAUAGUUUUUGAUUUUAAGUAGUAUUGACCUUAUCAGCUUGCUGCUUUUUUCUCAGAAAUUAUUGAAUGCACUUUUCAGUUAACAAGUCAACAUCAAUUUCUUUUGUUGUAAAAGGUAAGAGGAAGGUGGCUUGCGCUUCGGCUCAAGUGUUUAUAGCCUUUUAUCUCCUGCAAUCGGAGAGAUUGAGGUCUGCAGCGUAGAUCCUUCGGGGUUAGAUACAUUGGUGCUAAGCUAUAGCCUUGUAUAGACAACUUGUUGACUAUGCUCAGUCAUGUAGCUUACUCGCUGAUGCUACUUUACCUACGCUUAGGAUGUUGAUAGUCACAGCGUGUAC